GCUGGUACCACUUUCUUGUCACCUUAACGUGAGCAGCGUGAUGCAGAACACAGCAAGUCAGGACAUAUGAAGAUUGAAGCAGUUCAUAAAGUAAGGGUAUAAUUAAGUGCUUGAACAUGGACAGAUUCCUGAAAUAAUGAUAGAUGUGAGGAAAGGAGAUGAAGAAGUUUGGUUUGUUGAGAAACACAAGGAAUGUGUUGAGAGGAAGGUGACAAGUAUAGCAAGAUUCAAGGAAGUGCAUAUACAUCUCCUUCAUAUAUCUUUCUGGCUAAAACCAGAAUGAUAUCCAUGAAGGAUCUUGAAAAUUGAGUCCAAAUUUGGUUUGGAUCCUACAGAAGACAUGUGUUGGGGGCUGCUACAUGGCAGUACGUUAGAUCUCAUAGCAGAUUCCCCUGAAGUAUGAAAAAGUCAAAGUCCAAAUGGACAUGAAGUUUGUAAAGAAACAACACUGAAGAUUGAUUUAGUAACAGCUGUGUUCAGGAAGAAGAUUAGAGAGAAGUGAGUUUAGGAAGAAAAUCCAAAUAUCAAUAUGCCUGCAGCUCUAGGAGUUUAUGUUAGGCUACUGAGAAUGUUAAUCAGAUUUCAAAAAACCCAGACAGUGUAAUGCAUGGCAGGUUGUACUCUACAGCAUAGAAACCAUGCUGCACAGUUUGCUUUGUGCAGAAAACAUGGUUAUAUAUGCAAGUAAUUUCCAUAUUUCUGCUGCCUUAUUUUUAACCCAUUUAAUGACCUUUAUGAUCACAGUUCAGUCAAGUAGCAGCAUUCGUGCCAGCAACAGCAUUCCAGCUGGGUUAAUGAAUACACACAUGAUUUCAUGAAGGAAUAUAUCUUUUUUGACCCAGUUUCAACCUUUCAUAUUUCAAGCUGUUUAAUUAUAAGAUAUAUUGGUUGGAAACAAACACCCAUUUAUGCAACAUUAAAAGUUUAAACAAAUUCCAUAUGCAAUUAUCUUAGGCACUGAGUGUCUGUGAUUGGUAUAUGUAGGUAACAAAUUAGUGGCACAGUUGAUAAAUGCCUUUCACAGAACAGAUGCAAAUAACCAGACUUCUGUGUUCCUUGAGUCUGCAUGAUAAUAGGUUCUUUAAGCACCCUGCUAAGAAUUAGGAAAUUAGUCAAAUGGGAUCAUAUUUAGGUUGAGCUAAUACUGCACAGCUGAAUUUACCCACCAUUAUCUGCGGGCAUAAUUGGAGACAACUGUUUUUUGGACCAGCUGUGCAGGUCACAAAAGGAUAAUAAUGGGGGCCCAGCCUUGCUAUGUCAGAUUGAUAAAUGUUUAUAGCACCGUGUGACUGGAGGAGCUGGCUUUAAACAGUGUGCUAUGCAGCUCCUACAGCAGAGGACACGGUUGCUGGAGUUCUUGUUUUGCAAUUUUUCUGAAUUGGCUGCACAACUGUCAGCAUCGUGUCCGGUGUGAAGAGAUUUUAAUGUUGGCAAGGAGCAUGGAAGAGGCAUUUUACAAUGUGCCACCACUAUCCCGAGAAGAAAGGAGCAGUGCUAAUCCUGCAAACUUGCUCAGAAGUGUUUAAAAAUCUUUGAAGGCAUUUUCCAAGUACAAGGUGGCAAGAAGGGAAUAUGAGUUCA
This is a long non-coding RNA of Pezoporus flaviventris, 1581 nucleotides long. RefSeq lists it as uncharacterized. Lineage: Eukaryota; Metazoa; Chordata; Aves; Psittaciformes; Psittacidae. The transcript has 4 exons. The record is from RefSeq and is a predicted model, not a curated record.